Long non-coding RNA from Drosophila navojoa, 456 nucleotides. RefSeq lists it as uncharacterized. The record is from RefSeq and is a predicted model, not a curated record. Lineage: Eukaryota; Metazoa; Arthropoda; Insecta; Diptera; Drosophilidae.
UGUCAUACAUAAAAAAGCAUUGAAAUAGUUUUGAAUGUCGUACAAAAUGUGCAAAUUGUAUUUGUUUAAGUUGCUUUAGUAAGCGAAUUAAAGUAAAAAAUACAAAUGCCAAGCAAAUAAUUUACAUAAAUUGUUAUUGAGAAAAGCGGGCAAUGGCCAGGCCCAAUUGAUCUGCGACUGUACUUGCCUUAAUUCUUUAGACUCACUAACACAGAUGUACGUGUAUUAACGGAACUCAAUUGUAAUUAAGCUUGCAUAAAUUAAGGUCUGAAGCUGACGCGACUCAGACUGUAACGUCACGUACUACCUUACCAUGAAGUCCGGAUUUGAUGACGCUUCGAACAAGCGAAACGAAACGCUUUGAAAUUGAAGGCGAACCUUAAGCAAUGUCCAGCAUUGGCCUCAAAGAUGAAUUGGGUGAGAUUGGGCCAAAGAUACAGAUAUAAAUUGGGAAAA